ACUACCGGGAUCUGCCCGAUUGGCUUGC
Molecule: small RNA, 28 nt
Filed under: Bombyx mori (domestic silkworm)
Lineage: Eukaryota; Metazoa; Arthropoda; Insecta; Lepidoptera; Bombycidae
Description: ovarian small RNA-11628
Source: RNAcentral